UUGUGUUUGAAGUUCUUUAAUUGAAUCCAUGAAUAUUUUUUUUAUGGGAAUUUUGAAUAGCCAUUUAAAAUCCUUAGUAAAAAAGAAUGGAAGAAGAUAAGCAAAUGAUAUCCAUGUCUCCACAAUUUCUAUCUAACCAGUUAGGAUGCCUAAAAAGAGUAAAACCAAAAAAUACAAUUGUAGUUAGCUUUGUAAAAUCAAUUUCAGUGGUUCUUUUUCGGUUCUCUUUCCAGGCAAAAGCUUUAGUAGAGAUGAACGUGCAUGGUCUUUUUACUCAAAGAGAGCAAGCAAAGAGAAACAUAACCCUAAAUAGUAUUUUCACAAUCAGAUAAUCAUAAACUCUAUAUGCAGAGGUCAGAAGUUAGUCGAAUAAAUGCAAAGGACUACUACCAUGUCUCCUGAGUAAGAUGUUGAUUCAUUCAUAUGUGUAAUUUUCUGCUCUGUUGGGAACUGAGGAAGACGGAAGAAAUCCAUGCCUCAUAGAUGUAUGCUACAUAUGUUGAAAUUCUACUUCUAACUGAACUUGGUUGGUGUUCAGACGUCUAUGUUUUGGCGAAAAUUCUACUUCUGACUGAACGGGAUAAAUGGCUCCAUGAAGCUCAUACACAAGGUUUUUGAGUUACUAAAGAUUCCGGGCUCAUUGACUUAAAUCUGUCGCCGACAGUUACAAUUUUGUUUUCUUUUCAAGCAGUAAAAAUGUCGUGUGAGUGUAUCAAGUAUCACUGUCUU
Molecule: long non-coding RNA, 729 nt
Organism: Papaver somniferum (opium poppy)
Lineage: Eukaryota; Viridiplantae; Streptophyta; Magnoliopsida; Ranunculales; Papaveraceae
Exons: 4
Source: RefSeq, a predicted model, not a curated record